Molecule: ribosomal RNA, 757 nt
Filed under: uncultured Bacteroidota bacterium
Lineage: Bacteria; Pseudomonadati; Bacteroidota
Description: bacterial SSU rRNA
Rfam family: Bacterial small subunit ribosomal RNA
Source: RNAcentral
AGUCGAGGGGUAUAGUUCUUCGGAGCUAGAGACCGGCGCACGGGUGCGUAACGCGUAUGCAAUCUGCCUUUCACAGAGGGAUAGCCCAGAGAAAUUUGGAUUAAUACCUCAUAGUAUUAUGGAAGGGCAUCCUUUUAUAAUUAAAGUCACAACGGUGAAAGAUGAGCAUGCGUCCCAUUAGCUAGUUGGUAAGGUAACGGCUUACCAAGGCAACGAUGGGUAGGGGUCCUGAGAGGGAGAUCCCCCACACUGGUACUGAGACACGGACCAGACUCCUACGGGAGGCAGCAGUGAGGAAUAUUGGUCAAUGGGCGCAAGCCUGAACCAGCCAUGCCGCGUGCAGGAUGACGGUCCUAUGGAUUGUAAACUGCUUUUGUACGAGAAGAAACACUGAUUCGUGAAUCAGCUUGACGGUAUCGUAAGAAUAAGGAUCGGCUAACUCCGUGCCAGCAGCCGCGGUAAUACGGAGGAUCCAAGCGUUAUCCGGAAUCAUUGGGUUUAAAGGGUCCGUAGGCGGUUUAGUAAGUCAGUGGUGAAAGCCCAUCGCUCAACGGUGGAACGGCCAUUGAUACUGCUGAACUUGAAUUAUUAGGAAGUAACUAGAAUAUGUAGUGUAGCGGUGAAAUGCUUAGAUAUUACAUGGAAUACCAAUUGCGAAGGCAGGUUACUACUAAUGGAUUGACGCUGAUGGACGAAAGCGUGGGGAGCGAACAGGAUUAGAUACCCUGGUAGUCCACGCCGUAAACGAUGGAUACUA